RNAcentral lists this non-coding RNA (29 nucleotides) under Mus musculus (house mouse). The record is from RNAcentral. Lineage: Eukaryota; Metazoa; Chordata; Mammalia; Rodentia; Muridae.
UACAAAUAGAUGGUGUUCUUGAUAGUUCU